This 494-nucleotide ribosomal RNA is filed under the name uncultured bacterium. Its description in RNAcentral is "partial 16S ribosomal RNA". It matches the Rfam family "Bacterial small subunit ribosomal RNA", at positions 28 to 507 of the family's 1533-position model. The record is from RNAcentral.
GACGAACGCUGGCGGCGUGCUUAACACAUGCAAGUCGAACGGAAAGGCCUGCUUUCCCUUGUGGAUUGCGGGUACUCGAGUGGCGAACGGGUGAGUAACACGUGAGUGAUCUGCCCCCAACUUGGGUAUAAGCCUGGGAAACUGGGUCUAAUUCCCGAUAGGACUGCAGGGUGGUGCCUGUGGUGGAAAACGAUUUUCUAGUGGUUGGGGAUGAGCUCGCGGCCUAUCAGCUUGUUGGUGGGGUAAUGGCCUACCAAGGCGGCGACGGGUAGCCGGCCUGAGAGGGUGGACGGCCACAUUGGGACUGAGAUACGGCCCAGACUCCUACGGGAGGCAGCAGUGGGGAAUAUUGCACAAUGGGCGGAAGCCUGAUGCAGCGACGCCGCGUGGGGGAUGACGGCCUUCGGGUUGUAUACUCCUUUCGACCGCGAGGAAGCCACCUGGUUGGAAGGGUGGUGACGGUAGUGGUAGAAGAAGCACCGGCUAACUACGUG